This 468-nucleotide ribosomal RNA is filed under the name uncultured bacterium. Its description in RNAcentral is "partial 16S ribosomal RNA". It matches the Rfam family "Bacterial small subunit ribosomal RNA", at positions 28 to 507 of the family's 1533-position model. The record is from RNAcentral.
GACGAACGCUGGCGGCGUGCUUAACACAUGCAAGUCGAACGGAAAGGCCCUGCUUUUGUGGGGUGCUCGAGUGGCGAACGGGUGAGUAACACGUGAGUAACCUGCCCUUUACUUUGGGAUAACUUCAGGAAACUGGGGCUAAUACCGGAUAGGAGCUCCUGCUGCAUGGUGGGGGUUGGAAAGUUUCGGCGGUUGGGGAUGGACUCGCGGCUUAUCAGCUUGUUGGUGGGGUAGUGGCUUACCAAGGCUUUGACGGGUAGCCGGCCUGAGAGGGUGACCGGCCACAUUGGGACUGAGAUACGGACCAGACUCCUACGGGAGGCAGCAGUGGGGAAUAUUGUACAAUGGGCGGAAGCCUGAUGAAGCAACGCCGCGUGCGGGAUGACGGCCUUCGGGUUGUAAACCGCUUUCGCCUGUGACGAAGCGUGAGUGACGGUAAUGGGUAAAGAAGCACCGGCUAACUACGUG